CAGCCUGACCUAGUGGUCUCCUAGCAACAACCACACCGCACGGAGCGUCUCCUAGCAACAACCGCACCGCACGGAGCGUCUCCUAGCAACAACCGCACCGCACUGAGCGUCUCCUAGCAACAACCACACCGCACGGAGCGUCUCCUAGCAACAACCGCACCGCACUGAGCGUCUCCUAGCAACAACCACACCGCACGGAGCGUCUCCUAGCAACAACCACACCGCACGGAGCGUCUCCUAGCAACAACCACACCGCACUUACCUUCUCCUAGAGACAGUCUGAAACCGCACUUACCUUCUCCUAGAGACAGUCUGAAACCGCACUUACCUUCUCCUAGAGACAGUCAGAAACCGCACUUACCUUCUCCUAGAGACAGUCUGAAACCGCACUUACCUUCUCCUAGAGACAGUCUGAAACCGCACUUACCUUCUCCUAGAGACAGUCUGAAACCGCACUUACCUUCUCCUAGAGACAGUCUGAAACCGCACUUACCUUCUCCUAGAG
Molecule: non-coding RNA, 505 nt
Organism: Pelobates cultripes (western spadefoot toad)
Lineage: Eukaryota; Metazoa; Chordata; Amphibia; Anura; Pelobatidae
Source: the annotation of a GenBank genome assembly